RNAcentral lists this ribosomal RNA (1249 nucleotides) under Gymnoscopelus nicholsi. Its description in RNAcentral is "16S ribosomal RNA". It matches the Rfam family "Bacterial large subunit ribosomal RNA", at positions 619 to 2570 of the family's 2925-position model. Lineage: Eukaryota; Metazoa; Chordata; Actinopteri; Myctophiformes; Myctophidae. The record is from RNAcentral.
UCUAGCCAGUAUCCCUGAGCAAAGAGAGCUUUAGUUCAGCCCCCCGAAACUAGACGAGCUACUUCAAGACAGCCUAUGAUGGGCCAACCCGUCUCUGUUGCAAAAGAGUGGGAAGAUCUUUAAGUAGAGGUGACAAACCUAUCGAGCCUAGUUAUAGCUGGUUGUCUGAGAAGUGUAUAUAAGUUCAGCCUCCCGACUCCCCCCAUCCAGGACACUCAUGUCUCCCGAGACCGAGGGUGACCGAGAGAGUUAGUCAAAGAGGGUACAGCCCCUUUGAAAAAGGACACAACCUCACCGGGAGACUAAAGAUCAUAAUUAACCCAAGGAGUCUUGUUUUAGUGGGCCUAAAAGCAGCCACCUAAAAAGAAAGCGUUAAAGCUCAUACAAACUCCGCCCCCUAAUACCGAGCCCAACUCUACACUCCCCACCUAUUAUCAGACCGUCCCACAAACCCUGGGAAAGACCCUGCUAGAAUGAGUAAUAAGGGGGACCGCCCCUCUCCGCUACAUGUGUGUAAAUCGGAACGGACCCCCCGCCGAUAACUAACGAUCCCCCAUAAGAGGGACAUGUAAUGCUGCACAAAUAGCUAGAAACCCUAACAAAAUUAAUCGUUAACCCAACACAGGUGUGCAUACCCGGAAAGACUUAGAUAAAGGGAAGGAACUCGGCAAACACAAGCCUCGCCUGUUUACCAAAAACAUCGCCUCUUGCAAAAAGAACGAAUAAGAGGUCCCGCCUGCCCUGUGACUAUAUGUUUAACGGCCGCGGUAUUUUGACCGUGCGAAGGUAGCGCAAUCACUUGUCUCUUAAAUGGAGACCUGUAUGAAAGGCAUCACGAGGGCUUAGCUGUCUCCCCUUUAAAGUCAAUGAAAUUGAUCUCCCCGUGCAGAAGCGGGGAUAUACUCGUAAGACGAGAAGACCCUAUGGAGCUUAAGAUAUAAAGCGACCCAUGUCAAGCAUCCCUUCAAAGGAAGUGAACAAGAUGAAUCUCGCCGAAAUAUCUUCGGUUGGGGCGACCGCGGGGAAAGACAAAACCCCCACAUGGACUAGGGCCACUAUAGCCCUAAAACCUAGACCCACAGGUCAAAUCAACAGUAUUUCUGACCACCAAAGAGCCGGCAAUGCCGAUCAACGGACCGAGUUACCCUAGGGAUAACAGCGCAAUCCCCUCCCAGAGCCCUUAUCGACGAGGGGGUUUACGACCUCGAUGUUGGAUCAGGACAUCCUAAUGGUGCAACCGCUAUUAAGG